GACGAACGCUGGCGGCGUGCUUAACACAUGCAAGUCGAACGGAAAGGCCCUGCUCUUGUGGGGCGCUCGAGUGGCGAACGGGUGAGUAACACGUGAGUAACCUGCCCCUGACUUUGGGAUAACUUCAGGAAACUGGGGCUAAUACCGGAUAGGAGCUCCUGCUGCAUGGUGGGGGUUGGAAAGAUUCGGCGGUUGGGGAUGGACUCGCGGCUUAUCAGCUUGUUGGUGGGGUAGUGGCUUACCAAGGCUUUGACGGGUAGCCGGCCUGAGAGGGUGACCGGCCACAUUGGGACUGAGGUACGGCCCAGACUCCUACGGGAGGCAGCAGUGGGGAAUAUUGCAGAAUGGGCGGAAGCCUGAUGCAGCAACGCCGCGUGCGGGAUGACGGCCUUCGGGUUGUAAACCGCUUUCGCCUGUGACGAAGCGUGAGUGACGGUAAUGGGUAAAGAAGCACCGGCUAACUACGUG
Molecule: ribosomal RNA, 468 nt
Filed under: uncultured bacterium
Lineage: Bacteria
Description: partial 16S ribosomal RNA
Rfam family: Bacterial small subunit ribosomal RNA
Source: RNAcentral